ACCGAAACUCCAUCUCAAACAAAACGAAACGAAACGAAACAAAACAAAACAAAACAAAAACAGCUUGAGGACCAGAUAGGGCAUCAAAAGCGGAGAAAGCUGGGGAACUCUGUGUCCUCUGAAUCCAGUUCAGAUGGAAAGGAAGCCCCAGAGGGAGGACAGGUGGGGGCAGCUGGAAAGACAAGACCAGGCUCCCCUUCUUGGGUGUGGAGGGAGACAGUGGUCGGGACCCCCAGAGAGGGCAGAGCACCGGGCUGGCCGGUGGGGUGGGGUUCCCCGCAGGAGGCCUGUGCCGCCGGCUGUGUGGCCUGCGGAGGAGCCUGCCGAGCCUGCCGAGCCCCGCAUCCGGUGGGAAGUAGGAGUCUGGCACUUCCGGCUCGGGCUGCUGCAGCGGUUCCGGGCAUCUGCGCUAUUAGAAUUCUCCCGGCUCGCGGCGGCCGCAGGAAUCCAGUCACGUGGUAGACGUGGUGCCUGGGAGCCGGGGUCAGCGAGCGCUCAGUCUGAGAGAAAACGUGUUCCUUCCCCCUGAGACGUGUCCCGUGCCGGGCGAUGGCUCGCGGCAAACCUCCGCUCCCACAGGGAAGGAGCCCUGUGAGGCCUGGCCUGGGAGCUCUCGGGAGCGUGGGUGGAGAUAGAGAUGAAUCUACAAAAUGGAAAAAGUGUUGAACUUGGGAGUCAAGAGACCAGGAUUCUAGUUCUGAUGAUGCCCUUCACAUACCGAAUGCCCUGGGGAAGCCGCUUCCCUUCUCUCAGCCUUGGGUUCUCCAUGUGUCAAAUUAGGCUGUGGAAAAAGAAACACUCAUCUGGCUGAACGGAGACAUGAGCCUCUGUAAACUGAUUCUUCCUCCACAAAGGGGCCCUGGCCCUCACAGCCCCAUCCUCUUUCAUCCUUGCUGCCUGAUCCUAGGGAAGCUUUGCUCUGGUGGUGCCUGGAGCUGUGAUGUAUGCAGUCAUUUGAAACCCCAGCUUUGUGGAAGACACGAGACAUUGAUUUUUACUCUACCAUUUGGAGAAAAAUCAUUUUUAUAUUAGCAGAAAUGUUGAUAGACAAGGAGCAAAGUUUAAGGUUGGAAUGACUUUAAGAUUCAUUCAUUUUUUAAAAAUUUAUACUUAUUGAGUGCUUACUAUGUGCCAGCCCUGUCCUAGGCCCUUGGGGACUGGUUGGUAAAUAAAGCAGAUAGAGUAGUCGAUAAUGCCUGAUAUAGUUUGGAUGACUGUCCCCUCCAAAUCUCAUGUUGAAAUGUAAUCCCAAUAUUGGAGGCGGGGCUUGGUGGGAGGUGUUUGGGUCUCGUGGGUGGACCCUCAUGAAUGGCUGGGUGCUGUCCUAGAGGCGGUGAGUGCGUUCUCAUGAGAUCUGGUUGUCUAAAAACAUGUGGCACCUGCCCCCUCUCUCUCUCGCUUCCACUCUCACCAUGUGACACCCAGCUCCUGCUUCACCUUCC
RNAcentral lists this long non-coding RNA (1442 nucleotides) under Homo sapiens (human). RNAcentral's name for it is "HSALNT0317650". Lineage: Eukaryota; Metazoa; Chordata; Mammalia; Primates; Hominidae. The record is from RNAcentral.